UGCAACACUGUGUCUCCCGCAGACACAAAAGAGCUGUACGUGAGGUGCGUCGCGAUGCCGCGCGAAUAGUGUUUGGGAUACGGCGCACUUCCUGCAAGUCAGCUUCUCGAGUAAUGUCUUUGUUUUACCAUUCGCGCUUUUGACGUCCGUCGGCGGCUAUAUGGGGCGCGUCACCAAGUUUCCAACAAGCCGCUGUCCCACAGGAACGCAGGGAGAGGCCACGAGCCUUCCACUGAUGUCAAGCCUUUCCAGGACCAACACCACCUCCGACCUCCUUAAGCGACGAAAGAAGCGAAGAUCGCGGAUCCUCACGCGGAACCGCGGCAACAGCGGCAGCAAAGACGUCGAUUCAACCACCAGGCACGCCCCGAAUGGUUGACAAUUCCACGUGCUUCGCGGAGUCCCAGAUGUCAGUCCUGGAUCAAAACCCAGAGGGCGUCCUCUAUUUGGCUAUACGUCAAGACGAAACUGAAAUCACAUAUAUAAUGCGACCCUCGAAAACUGUGCUGGCGUUUUUCCUGUCGCCGUCGUCGCUUCUAGAAUUGUAUGGUGCACAGCAGAGAACGGCAAGUAUAACCGCACUACUUGUCCACAGGUGCAUUCUAUAGAAGGCCGACGCGGCGCCUGAGUGAAACUGCGGGCGCCGAAUGACCAUCGGCAUCAUCAUACAUGCCUGGCUAUUUGGAAAAGCGACCAUCCACCUGCGGAGGAUAGUGACCGCUGACUUGCGUGUUCGAGCAUUGAAACAUGAUUUCGUCCGUUAUGCUUCUUAAGGAAUAACCGAAAAUCUCGAUGGAUGUCCGAAACCAAGGGACUUCUAGGAUCACGCUAAGAAAAACAGGAAAAAGAUGCGAUGCAACGCAAUUGAUACACUAUUUUUGGUUCAUCAAGUUACUAAGUUUCUGUAUGCUUGAUGGUAUUAAUUUAUAUUUAGCUAGUCGUAAGUUUGCACAAAGCUUUUGUCCUCAUACAUAGAUUAAAUACAUUAGACAUACAUAAUACAUUUAAUACACUUAAUGUCUAUUGAUUAAACGUUCAUAAAUGCCUACGCCUUCCGCAUAGGAAUGGUGACCAUUGCGCUGAAGAGGAAACUGUCAGCGACAACCUGUGCCAAUGUCCGCAGUUUUGUGUACAAAUACGCUCACCUGCCGCUGUGCUCAACAAGCUUGACGACGACCUCUGUCUGAAGAGCUAAUCCUACAACACAGGCGUGACUCGGUAUCGCAUCAGAUGACCGUGAAAGCAUUAUUGGGCGUUUUGCUUUCGAUGCACCUUACUUAGUGAACGCCUGUAGAAGUUAAUUUUUUUUCUCUCUCCUCCUUUCUAAACCUCUUUUGCCCGACCACCAUGCAGGGUAGCAAACCGGGCACUUGCGUGAGGUUAACCUCCCUGACUUUCCUCUCUCUCUCUCUCUCUCUCUUGAUUAAGCGUACGUUGAGAAGCCA
RNA transcript from Dermacentor andersoni, 1445 nucleotides. RefSeq lists it as uncharacterized. The record is from RefSeq and is a predicted model, not a curated record. NCBI's taxonomy places the organism in Eukaryota, Metazoa, Arthropoda, Arachnida, Ixodida, Ixodidae.